AUAACAAAGAUGCACAAAGGUUGGUAGCAUGGAAUCGCACAUGUGGAUUCUCAAUUCCACAGGCGCUAAUAAUAUCAAAUGCUAAGAGAGUUCAACUAAAACAAUUUGUGUCCAUGCCCAAUGUAAGAUUUUUUCAUAUUUGAAAAAUGGUUAAUAUUUUCUUCCCAUUAUAUAGAAAUUCAGUUGGAAUUUGUGAAUUUGUUUCCAUAGGUGCAACAUUAUCGCAUAUUAGGCCGCAUUGAGAAAAUAUACAAAGAACACAUAUGGAUUUAUAAAUGCAAGACGUGCUUUAGGGAAGUUGAAAAUCAAUACGGUUGGUUUGUCUGUAGUCAAUGCGGAGAAGAUGUGGAAACAGCAGCCAGGUAUAAUGUAAAGAUGGUUGUGAAAGACUCCACUGGCUCAAUGGAGCUCUUGGUGAAGGACACAAAGGCAGAAUUUAUCUUGCGAUGUGUACCAUCCGAUUUGAAGAAGUUAAUGUUAAAGCUUAUGUACCAUGAACAUUGUGCCUCUGUGGUAACCUUCGUGUUAAAAGUUGAUUGGUCAGAAGAAUGUUUGCACAUUUCCAAAGAAAUGUCGAGGACUGGCAAAGAACCAAUG
Molecule: long non-coding RNA, 597 nt
Organism: Rhododendron vialii
Lineage: Eukaryota; Viridiplantae; Streptophyta; Magnoliopsida; Ericales; Ericaceae
Exons: 4
Source: RefSeq, a predicted model, not a curated record